RNAcentral lists this ribosomal RNA (1398 nucleotides) under uncultured bacterium. Its description in RNAcentral is "16S ribosomal RNA". It matches the Rfam family "Bacterial small subunit ribosomal RNA". The record is from RNAcentral.
AGAGUUUGAUCCUGGCUCAGGAUGAACGCUAGCUACAGGCCUAACACAUGCAAGUCGAGGGGCAGCGGGGGCAGAGCUUGCUUUGCCUGCCGGCGACCGGCGCACGGGUGCGUAACGCGUAUCGAACCUCCCCCAUACUCGGGAAUAGCCUUGCGAAAGUAAGAUUAAUGCCCGAUGGUCUCAGAAUAUGACAUCAUGCUUUGAGUAAAGAUUCAUCGGUAUGGGAUGGCGAUGCGUCUGAUUAGAUAGUUGGCGGGGUAACGGCCCACCAAGUCGUCGAUCAGUAGGGGUUCUGAGAGGAAGGUCCCCCACAUUGGAACUGAGACACGGUCCAAACUCCUACGGGAGGCAGCAGUGAGGAAUAUUGGUCAAUGGUCGGAAGACUGAACCAGCCAAGUAGCGUGAAGGAUGACUGCCCUACGGGUUGUAAACUUCUUUUAUGCGGGAAUAAAGUGCCCCACGCGUGGGGUAUUGCAUGUACCGCGUGAAUAAGCAUCGGCUAAUUCCGUGCCAGCAGCCGCGGUAAUACGGAAGAUGCGAGCGUUAUCCGGAUUUAUUGGGUUUAAAGGGUGCGCAGGCGGACCGCUAAGUCAGGGGUGAAAAGUUCGUGCUUAACAUGAAUCGUGCCUUUGAUACUGGCGGACUAGAGUGCGAUAGGCGUGGCCGGAAUGUGGUGUGUAGCGGUGAAAUGCUUAGAUAUGCCACAGAACACCGAUCGAGAAGUCAGGUCACGAGUUCGCAACUGACGCUCAUGCACGAAAGCGUGGGGGUCAAACAGGAUUAGAUACCCUGGUAGUCCACGCAGUAAACGAUGAUAACUUGUUGUCGGCGAUAGAGUGUCGGUGACAAAGCGAAAGCGAUAAGUUAUCCACCUGGGGAGUACGAUCGCAAGGUUGAAACUCAAAGGAAUUGACGGGGGCCCGCACAAGCGGAGGAGCAUGUGGUUUAAUUCGAUGAUACGCGAGGAACCUUACCUGGACUCAAAUGUUGAACGACCGGUCUAGAAAUAGACCUUCCCUUCGGGGCGUUUAGCAAGGUGCUGCAUGGUUGUCGUCAGCUCGUGCCGUGAGGUGUCAGGUUAAGUCCUAUAACGAGCGCAACCCCUACGUCCAGUUGCCAGCGGGUAAAGCCGGGGACUCUGGAGGGACUGCCGGCGCAAGCCGAGAGGAAGGUGGGGAUGACGUCAAAUCAGCACGGCCCUUACGUCCAGGGCGACACACGUGCUACAAUGGCCGGUACAGAGGGCAGCCACCUGGUGACAGGGAGCGAAUCUCGAAAGCCGGUCUCAGUUCGGAUCGGAGUCUGCAACUCGACUCCGUGAAGUUGGAUUCGCUAGUAAUCGCGCAUCAGCCAUGGCGCGGUGAAUACGUUCCCGGGCCUUGCACACACCGCCCGUCA